Chelonia mydas (Green sea turtle) is the source of this 4160-nucleotide long non-coding RNA. RefSeq lists it as uncharacterized. NCBI's taxonomy places the organism in Eukaryota, Metazoa, Chordata, Testudines, Cheloniidae. The transcript has 2 exons. The record is from RefSeq and is a predicted model, not a curated record.
GCGUGGGCCCUGAGGGCUGGCAGUGCCCUGCGGGCUUGGGGAGGGUGAGUGGCCCGGGGGCCAGGCAGGGGCACGGGGCAGGAAUGUUUCAUAACAGGAAACUGAUUUCCUCCCUCUGCUGUUAGAUCCUGACAGCUAGUGUGUGUGUGAGUGUGUGCGCGUGAGUGUGAGUGUGUGUGCGUGAGCAUGUGUGCGUGAAUGCGUGCGUGAGCAUGAGCAGAAGUGUGUGUGUGACCGUGAGUGAGCACGAGUGUGCGUGGAUGUGUGUGGAUGUGGAAGCAUGAGUGUGUGUGGGGGUGUGCACGUGCGUGAGUGUGGGGGUGCGCUUGCAGGCGUUUGUGCUGAGUGCCUGCUGUGUGCGCGCGUGCGCGUGUGUGCACCAGGCUCUAGUGAAUGUGGCUGUGAAACAUGUUCUGAUGUCUUAGCUCAGCGUGUGGGUCUGCCCGAUCGACCCCCAGACACACGUGUCCCUCCAGUUGGCUCUCUGUCCUCAGACCCGUCUGUCCUAACGAGAGCCCGAACUACAGCAGAGCUGACCCACCCCAUUGAUCUAUCUAUCCCCAUACCCCCCGCUAUCUAUCUAUCUAUCUAUCUAUCUAUCUAUCUAUCUAUCUAUCUAUCUAUCUAUCUAUCUAUCCCCACACACCCCCUCUAUCUAUCUAUCCCCCCACACACCCAUCUCUCCAUUCAAAUGCCUAUAUGGCCCUAACCGCCAGCAAUCUGAGCAUCUCCAGAAGGAUGCUGAGGUUGGGGGAAAGCCCCCUAGCAGCCCACCUCUCUGACAGAGUGUAUCGCUGACCCACUUGCCCGUGUGCUGGUCUAGGUUUGUUUCCCAGCCCACGCUAACGGGGCUGCCGGGCGGUUCUGUAGAGCAGCGUGUCGGCGACUCUGCGGAGAGACCCGUUAGAUAAAAGCAGAAGUAAUUCGCGGUAACCUGCAGAGCUAGACUUGGUCAUAAAAAUUUCAUUUUUAUUUUUGAUCAUUUCGACGGAGAAUCUCAGGGUUUAUUCGUAAGUCUUUUUUUUAGAUUUGCUUUGAGCUAAAUCUCCACAGCUGCACAAAAUUACGGGACUUUUUUCAGACAACGGGGUGGGGGUGCCGACAACGAGUAUUUAACGACACUAGAUGUUCAGAUUGAAAAAGGUCAAGCUUUCUAACCGGUCCAACCUAACUUGUCAACGUCACGUACCAAAAUACGCAAAGGAAACAGCCUUAAAUCAAACUACGGCCUUCUCUCCGUAGAUUUCAGUGAUCGUCGGCGGAAACACUUGUUAUCAGUUUGUGCGUGUACGUGGUGAAAUCAACAUUUACUGAUAAACAUCUACUCCUUCCCAGCCCAUGCACAGAUAAGCAUGGUGGGCCAUUGUACAAGCAUGUGUGUUAUGGGAAAUAUAUUUUGAGAAACUUAUAUGGUAAAAAGAUGGACUGUAUAGGUAAUGAGGUAGCUGCAUAUCUAUAUACGGACGGGGGGGGUGCAUGUUACGUGAAAUACGUUUUGGGAGAUGUGUGGUAAGGUGCCGUGUAUAGACAGCUAGAUGUGGGUCUAUGCACAGAUAGAGAAGUGUGUGUAUAAUUUGUGUGUCUAUACAAAAUAUGUGAGUAUAUGCCUCUUUGUGUAUAUGUGUAUCUACGUAAAAUGUGUGAAUGUACAUAAAUAUGUGUAUCUUGUGUACAUACACACACAAAUAUAUAUAUACACGCACAUGUAUGAUACACACAUCUCACAUCUAUUUAUGUGACUGUGUAUCUGUAAAGAAAAUGUGUUUCUCUAGCGAAGCGUGUAGGGAAAGAGGGGGUGACAUCACGGUGGGGGGUUUACCCCUAGAUCAGGGAGAGAAGCUGGAGGAGGCAUUUCUAGAACAAAUAACAGAAGGAUCCAAAACACAAGACCUGGUAGUAAGCAGGGGGCACUUCACCUCCCCACACAUCUGUCGGGAAGGUCAUACGGCAAGAUUUCCAGUCCGCUGCUGGAAUGCGCUGGGGCCAGCCGUUUGUUUCCGCCAGCGGAGGAAGGAACCGGGGGAAAGGGCAGUUUUGACUUGAUUCUGACCAGUGGGGAAGAAUGGGUCACGCAUCUGAAGUUGGAAGGCGAUUUGGGUGGAAGUGAUUGUGACGGGAUAAGUUCCAUGUUUCGACGGAAAGGAAGGAGUGAGAGCAGCAGGAACAGGACAGUGGACAUCAAAAAAAGCUGACGUUGACAAACUCCGAGAAUUGGCAGCUGAGGUCCCAUGGGGAGAAAAUCUAUGGGAUAAGGAGUUGAGGAGAGCUGGCAGUUUCUCAAGGAGACGCUAUCAAAGAUACAACUUCAAAGUAUCCCAGUACAAAGGAGAGAUCAGAAGAACAGUAAAAGGCCAGCGGGGCUCCUUCAGGAGCUCUUUAAUGACCUGAAAAUCAAAAAGGGCUCCUACUAAAAGUGGAAACCUGGAUGAACUGCUCAGGAGGAGAACAAAAAACCAGCCCAAUCAUGUAGGGACAAAAUCAGACAGGCUAAGGCACAAAACGAUUUACACCUGCAAGGGCCAUAUAAAGCAAGAAGAAGAGGUUCUUUAAAUCCAUUAGGAGCAAGAGAAAGGCAAAGGAAAGUGGAGGUCCUCUACUUAGCGGGGAAGGAUCCAAACUGAUGACAUCAAGAAGGCCCAAGUGUCUAAUGCCUAUUUUGCAUCAGUCUUCAUUAAAAUGGCUAACGGUGUCCAGGUACUCAACGCAAUGAAUAUUAACCAGGGGGAAGGAGCGCGAGCCAAAACAAGGAAAGAUCAGGAUAAAGCAUAUUUAAAUAAGUGAGAUACAUUCAAGUUGGCAGGGUCUGAUGAAAGCCAUCCUAGGUUAUUUAAGGAACGAGCUGAAGCGAUUAUCUUCGAGAGCUCCUGGAGGAUGGGUGAGGUCCCAGAGGACUGGACAGGGGCAAAUGUAGUAUUUUCCUUCUUUGUCUACUGGCCCAGUGAGCUGUAGAUAGGAAAUAUCUUGAUUUCAGUAACACUUUGGAUGCAGUCCCAUGUGACAGUCUCAUAAGCCAACUAAGGAAAUGCAGUCUAGAUGUAAGAUAGAUAGAUAGGUGGGUGCACAACUGGUUGAAAAUUGUACUCAGAGAGUAGUUAUCAAUGGUUGGCUGUCAAACUAUGAGGGUGUGUCUGCUGGGGUCCCGCAGGGGUCAGUCCUGAGUCAGGUACUGUUCAAUGUUUGUAUUAGUGACUUGGCUAACGGAGUGGAGCGUGUGCUUAUACGUUUGUGGCUGACACUAAGCUGGGAGGGGUUCCAAGCACUUUGGAGGACAGGAUUAGAAUUCAAAACAGCCCUGGCAAAUUGGAAAAUUGGCCUGAAAUCAACAAGAUGAAAUUCAGUAAAGACAAGUGCAAAGUACUUCACUCAGGAAGGAAAAAUCAAACGUCUAGUGUCAGGAAGAGGAGCUGGGGGCUAGAGUGAGUCACAAAUUGAACGAGCCCGCAAUGUGAUGCAGUUGUGAAACCGGCUAAUAUUCCGGGGUGUAUUAGCAGGAGUGUCAUACGUGAGACGCGGGAGGUGACUGUCCCGCUCUGCUCGGCACUGGGGAGGCCUCAGCUGGAGUCCUGGGUCCUGUUCUGGGUGCUGCGCUUUAGGGAAGAUGUGGACAAAUUUGGAGAGUGGCCAGAGGAGACCCACAGAAAUGACCCAAGGUUUAGCAAACCGGAUCUGUGAGAGAAGAUUAAACCCUGGGCAUGUUUAGUCCUGAGAAAAGACGACUGAGACAGGGGAGCUGAGAACAGUCUUCAAAUAUCUUAAGGGCUGUUACAAAGAGGGUGGGGAUCAAUGGUUCUCCCUGUCUCUGGAGGGUAGGACAAGAAGCAAUGGGCUUCAUCUGCAGCGAGGGAGAUGGAGGCUAGAAUUAGGAAAAACUUUCUAACUAACCCUAAGGGGAGCUAAGCUCUGGACCAGGUGUCCAAGGGCGGUUGUGGGAUCCCCGACACGAGGUUUUGAAGAACCGGUUGGACAAACCCCGGUCAGGGAUGGUCAAGGUUUAUUUGCUCCUGCCUCAGCACAGCGGGCUGGACCCAAUGAGCUCUCGCCGAUGAGCUCUCGAGAUCCCUUCCAGCCCCACAUUUCUAUGUUUCUUUGAUAUUUUAUUCCUCUACCGUACAGACAUUUUGUUAAAACCACGUCUUCUCUUAAUAUAUGAAUGAGACGCA